AACGAACGCUGGCGGCAUGCCUAACACAUGCAAGUCGAACGAGACCUUCGGGUCUAGUGGCGCACGGGUGCGUAACGCGUGGGAACCUGCCCUUAGGUUCGGAAUAACUCCCCGAAAGGGGUGCUAAUACCGGAUAAUGUCUUCGGACCAAAGAUUUAUCGCCUUUGGAUGGGCCCGCGUUGGAUUAGCUAGUUGGUAGGGUAAAAGCCUACCAAGGCGAGGAUCCAUAGCUGGUCGGAGAGGAUGAUCAGCCACACUGGGACUGGGACCCGGCCCAUACUGCAGGGGGAGGCGGGAGAGGGGAAAAUAGGGACAGGGGCCAAAGCCUGCACCGCCAAGGCCGGGUGGAUGGUGAAGGCUUUGGGGUUGUAAAGCUCUUUUCCCCGGGAGUAUAAGAACAGAACGGGGAAAAAAACCCCGGCUAAAUCCGUU
RNAcentral lists this ribosomal RNA (432 nucleotides) under uncultured bacterium. Its description in RNAcentral is "partial 16S ribosomal RNA". It matches the Rfam family "Bacterial small subunit ribosomal RNA", at positions 29 to 507 of the family's 1533-position model. The record is from RNAcentral.